GGAUCCCUCACUAGUAUGUUGAAGCUCUCCUCACAUGAUGGAUUGUUGGUUUAGGUUGAGUUUUCUCCCUUUGAUAACAAAAGACCUUAAGGCUUUUGAUCAAAUCUAUUCACCAAUCUUUUGAGAUUUUUACCCUGAACUACGAGGUUUUGAUCCUAUUCUUCUUUAAGAUGGUACGUAGGCAAUGGGUUUAUCCAUUCAAACACAAAAUUAUA
RNAcentral lists this long non-coding RNA (215 nucleotides) under Lathyrus oleraceus (garden pea). RNAcentral describes it as "Pisum sativum (pea) long non-coding RNA (PSAT_LNC009081)". The record is from RNAcentral. Lineage: Eukaryota; Viridiplantae; Streptophyta; Magnoliopsida; Fabales; Fabaceae.